GAUGAACGCUGGCGGCGUGCCUAAUACAUGCAAGUCGAGCGAACAGACGAGGAGCUUGCUCCUCUGACGUUAGCGGCGGACGGGUGAGUACCACGUGGAUAACCUACCUAUAAGACUGGGAUAACUUCGGGAAACCGGAGCUAAUACCGGAUAAUAUAUUGAACCGCAUGGUUCAAUAGUGAAAGACGGUUUUGCUGUCACUUAUAGAUGGAUCCGCGCCGCAUUAGCUAGUUGGUAAGGUAACGGCUUACCAAGGCGACGAUGCGUAGCCGACCUGAGAGGGUGAUCGGCCACACUGGAACUGAGACACGGUCCAGACUCCUACGGGAGGCAGCAGUAGGGAAUCUUCCGCAAAGGGCGAAAGCCUGACGGAGCAACGCCGCGUGAGUGAUGAAGGUCUUCGGAUCGUAAAACUCUGUUAUUAGGGAAGAACAAAUGUGUAAGUAACUAUGCACGUCUUGACGGUACCUAAUCAGAAAGCCACGGCUAACUACGUG
RNAcentral lists this ribosomal RNA (497 nucleotides) under uncultured bacterium. Its description in RNAcentral is "partial 16S ribosomal RNA". It matches the Rfam family "Bacterial small subunit ribosomal RNA", at positions 28 to 507 of the family's 1533-position model. The record is from RNAcentral.